AUUAACUUGAAUAUUUUUAAACUUAAAUAACUGACUUCAUAUACAUUUUUGCUUGCUUUUUUCACUCACCAUUUAUACUAUAGGUUUACUGUCCAUCUUCACUUUUACUAAAUAUUAGUGAAUAGUUCUUUAAGGUGGUUAUAACAAUUUAUUCUCCUACAAGCAGUCUGUGAGUUUCUCUUGCUCUAUAUUUUCACUAAUGCUUCGUAUCAACUUUUAUAUUUCUGAUCAAUCUGAUGAGUAUAAAAUGGUCUCAUCUUGUGUUGGUUUUUGCAUUUUCCUGAUUACUAGUGAAGUUGUUUCUAUUCAUAUAUUUGUAGACUUAUUGAAAUAUUUUAUUAUCUAGGAAUUUCCUCUUCAUAUUUUUUGUCUGUUUUUCUCUUCCUGUUUAUUUUUAGGAGUUACGUAUGUAAUGUAGACAUUAAGCACUGCUUUAUUCUAUGUUUUACAAAUAUUUCUGCCCAAUUUCUGACUUGUAUUUUUCUUGCUUAUGAUAAACAGAAGUAUUUGAAUUCUUUUCCUUCCCCAAGUUUAGAAUGGUAUUCUCCACUUUUUCAUAAAACUAAAAAUUGCGCAUUUACAUUUCAGUUUUGAAAGUGGUUUCAAUUGUGCAUGUAGUAUUAGGUAAAUACCUAAGUUCAUUGUUCCCUUUAUGGAUAAGCAGUGUUUUCAACAUCAUUUAUUGACAUUCUUUGUUUACCUGAUACUCUACAGAUCAUCUCUGUUAUAUAUUGAGUUUCCACGUACUCCUGGGUCUGCUUCUAGGCUCUCUGUUCUAUUGCAUUAAUCCAUUCUUGUGCUUAUAUUCUACUAUUGUAAAUCAUGUCACUUUUAGUAUGUGUAGAUAUCUGGUUUGGCCUAUCUCCCCAAUUUAUUCUUUAUGUUCAAAUUUACUUUGCUAUUCUCUGCUUUUGCUCUUCUAUGAAGAAUUUAGAAUCAGCUGGAACUUCACAGAAAUAGUAGAUUAAUUUGUGAAUAGCUAUUAUCUUUAUAAUAAUUAUUCUAUCACAAAAUAUAGUGUAUCUUUUCAUCUGCAUAGUUUACAUUGCUAACUAUAAUGUGUUCGGCAUACAGUAUUUGUCCUUUUUGACUGGCUUAUUUCACUUAGCAUAUCUUCAAGGUUUAUCCUGUAGCAUGUGUCAGCAUUUCCUUCAUUUUGAGGGCUGAAUAAUAUUCCAUUGCAAAUAUUAAUUCUUUAAAGUUUGUUGAACUUACUUAAUUGCAUUGGUCAAUUUUGUAAUUGUUCACAUGUGUGCUUGAAAGAAUAUAUGUUUAUUGGUUGCAAAUUUCAAUAUAUCAUCAAAGAAUUGUGUUAAUUCAAAUCAUCUGUAACUUCACUCAUUUUAUUAUACAUUUGUUAUAAUCUCCUUCCAUGAUGUGGAUUUUUCAUUAUAGUUGUUCUUUAUAGUUUUGCCAAUUUAUGCUUUCUAUAUUUUGAGCCCAUGUUAUUAGUUUUAGAUUUUUUUUUUGGUUAAUUGAACUUUUGUAUCAUUUUAUAUAUACCCUUAUAUGGUCUGCGAUAUUUCCCCCCUAAAGUCUAUUUCAUCUGGUUUUACCAUGGCUGCACAAAGCUUUUACUUCUUCUUUUUUUGUUGCUGUUUUUGUUAGUAUUUUCUUAUGUCUUCAAAGAACCUUUUAAUUUAAUCUUGGUCUGCCAAAGAAUAUAGCCUUUCUAUUUUUGAAAUUCAUUUUGACUGUUUUCAUCUUUUAACUGGUAAAUUGAGUGCAUUCACAUCAACUGUGUUUAGUGAUAUGUUUUUAGCAUCUUAUUUUGUGAAUUUGUACAGCUUUUUCAGUUCUUCAUUUUUUUUUUCUCCAUUUGUUUUUAGACUGAUUUCUUCUUGGUUUUGCCUCUUUUUCAAAAAUGUUUGUCUAAUUUAAGGUCAUGCAUUCAUUUCUGUUUAUUUAAUAGCUACUUUUAAAUGAUUAACAUGCAUGUUUAGCUUUAAAAAGUCUAAAAUUAACCAGUAUUUCUGCUCCCAUCCUGAAUAAUACAAAGACUUUAGAACAUGUAAAUUCCCACUAGCCCUUGGCAUCUUACAAGAUAACCUCUAGGGAUAUUUAUGAUUCUAAUUUUCUGUAAAAGCAAGAUGUCUUAAACACUGUUGAAACACUGAACCAAAAGGAAAUUCAAUUUGCUCAAAAUGCCAAACAAGGAGGAACGUGUAUUCUUUAAAGUGGCUUUAGAAACAGAAUUUUAAUAUUUUUUCUAACAAUUUUCCCAUGAUUUUUUCAUUAAGUCGGAUCUUUUAUUAAACUCAUUCAGGUAAUUCUGAUUAUUUCAAAGAUUAAAUACUAUAAUGUAUAAUUUCUGUAUUUGCUUUUGCUGAACUUGUAUGAUGACACUGAUUGUAACACACAGUGAGUAAUAUGUCUGGAAGCAAAUGUAACAAAUGUAACAAUCCAGAACAAAGUAAAAACCCAAAAGCCAUAAAAUAUGUCCCUGAGCAGUGGCAACAAGAAAGCAAAACAAAAGCAAACAGAAGCAACAACAACAAAAAAUCACUGCUACUACAAAGAAAUAGAACCUUGAAGUCUCCUCAACCCAGGGGCUUUAUCAUUUCAUAAUCGCCAUUGUGAGCCACUCUCAGAUAAGUAUUUUACUCUAAGCAAGAACAUUGUGCUUGCCAUACAGAACCCAUAUUUACCCCCUCAUUUUCCAAGUGCCUACAUCCUACAACUUAGAAAGGCCCACGCCCUAAUGACAUUGACAUCUUGUUAGGCAUCAUUGAAGAAUUUAUAAAAUAGGUGCAUAACAGCUCCUCUGUGAAAGUAAUUUGCAGCUUUUAUCAGUGGGAGGAGACAGAUGGUUUCCAGGCAUAGUGGCCUUAGGCAGCUUUGUGUAAGAAAAAGUUGUCUGAAGUUCCUAUCAUGGCUUAGCAGAAAUGAAUCUGACUAGCACCCAUGAAGGUGCACAUUCGAUCCCUUGCCUUGCUCAGUGGGUUAAGGAUCCAGCGUUGCUGUGAGCUGUGGUGUAAGUCACAGACACAGCUCGGAUCCCCUGUUGCUGAAUUUGACCCCUAGCCUGAAAACCUCCAUGUGCUGUGGGUGUGGCCCUAAAACAAAACAAAAACCACACAAAGUUGUCUUACACAUCUCAGUAGCCUUAGAGAAUGUCUCCAAAUGAUAAUCUGACAAAGUAACCAACCAAUCACUAAGUCCCUAGUUAAAAUCACCUGAACAAAGAAAGACUAUAUGUAUAAGAAACAAGCUCAAAAUAGUACACAUAUUUAAAAGAUAUUUUAAUCAAAAAUUUUUUGGAGAGGGUGAGACCAUGUUUAUUACUCACUUAAUGGGCAUGACAUAUUUUCCAAAGGUACUGAAUAGAUGAAAGGUUAAUUUGGAUAUCCAUGUAAUUUUUAGUAGCAUUAGGUUCAAUGUUAUAAACUGACAUUUUUCUUUCUGAUAAUGCAAAAGAGAAACAUGGACUUAGGUUUUUACUUGAAGAAACAUACAUGAACAUACAUGAACAAAAUUAAAAUUGCUAAUCAAAAAAAAAUAUUUAGUGAAACACUUCAAUCAAUUUUAGCCACAGAAAUACUUCAAUUUUCCACCUCAUCAAGGAAGCUUUUUAUUAGUGAGGAGGAAUAUCCAUCUAAAAUAAAAGUGUUUUAAAUGAUUUGGUCACUAAUAUGUACCAUAAUAGUCUGUGUCUUCCUGGAUUGUCAAUUCACCCUGUACAUUAAAAGACACACUUCAUUUGUAAAGAUGUGUAAUUGUAGUUAACUCUUUUGAAAGGGAGUAAACUUUUCUUUCUUUCGUAGUCCUUUUUUUGGCAAAAGAUUCAAAAAUAUUUGACCCAUGUCUGCUCUUAGAACCAAAGAUUAUGACGCUCUCCUAAUGAAGUGUUUGAAAGGUUCAACUGUUUAUUUUAAAUAACAUUUGCCAUUUUUCUUAAUUAAAAUUUUUAUAUAGGUGAUAUGCAGAAAAUUUGGAAACCACAUAAAAGUACCAAAGAAAAAUAGUUCUCAAAUCACUCAUUUACCUCAGCUCUUGGCUCCAUCACUAAAUUAUUUCAGAGUAUUGUACUAUAGUAAUUGUUUUGUCUGGUCUCUGUUUUCUUAUAUUUUCAUUAGCCAUUCCUUGGCUCUUUAUAUAAUGAUUGCUUAUAAUAUGCUUGCUUGUUUUGUCCUUAAAGUGAGAUCUUAAGGAUGGCUUUGUUUAUUAACACCUGCUAUAUAUAUGAAACACCGCCUGGAAAAAUAGGAGUCAAUAGGCAAAGCUCAUAUCCUUAAGGAAAUUACUAAUUACAGAUAAAGUGCUUGAUUUUGGGGGGUCAACCCAUAAGAUCAGGAGUCACAAUUAAUUCACUUCCCUGUCUGUACCACCCAGCAUGGGAUCUGUUUCCAAUCUGCAUACAGAAGAAAUUGUAUGGACACUUGUAUGUGAUAAGUAAAUAACUACCAUUGAACAAGUAGUUAUUUGUCUCUUACCCAUAUUGCCAUAUUCCUAAUAGUAGAGAUUGGAUAAGUAGUAUUUUGCUUGCUUGGUUGUGAAGUUCUGUAUUGAGAUGUAACAUUUGUAUCAUGGUUAUGAGUUAUCACACUGUUACCCCAUUAUCUCAGAAGUUCCUCUGAAGCCCAAGUAAAGCAAAAAAAUACUUUAUUAG
This 4609-nucleotide long non-coding RNA is filed under the name Sus scrofa (pig). RNAcentral describes it as "lncRNA (ENSSSCG00050010185.1)". The record is from RNAcentral. Lineage: Eukaryota; Metazoa; Chordata; Mammalia; Artiodactyla; Suidae.